GGUAGCUUGCUACCUGACCUAGCGGCGGACGGGUGAGUAAUGCUUAGGAAUCUGCCUAUUAGUGGGGGACAACAUUCCGAAAGGAAUGCUAAUACCGCAUACGCCCUACGGGGGAAAGCAGGGGAUCUUCGGACCUUGCGCUAAUAGAUGAGCCUAAGUCAGAUUAGCUAGUUGGUGGGGUAAAGGCCUACCAAGGCGACGAUCUGUAGCGGGUCUGAGAGGAUGAUCCGCCACACUGGGACUGAGACACGGCCCAGACUCCUACGGGAGGCAGCAGUGGGGAAUAUUGGACAAUGGGCGCAAGCCUGAUCCAGCCAUGCCGCGUGUGUGAAGAAGGCCUUUUGGUUGUAAAGCACUUUAAGCGAGGAGGAGGCUACUUGGAUUAAUACUCUAGGAUAGUGGACGUUACUCGCAGAAUAAGCACCGGCUAACUCUGUGCCAGCAGCCGCGGUAAUACAGAGGGUGCGAGCGUUAAUCGGAUUUACUGGGCGUAAAGCGUGCGUAGGCGGCUUUUUAAGUCGGAUGUGAAAUCCCUGAGCUUAACUUAGGAAUUGCAUUCGAUACUGGGAAGCUAGAGUAUGGGAGAGGAUGGUAGAAUUCCAGGUGUAGCGGUGAAAUGCGUAGAGAUCUGGAGGAAUACCGAUGGCGAAGGCAGCCAUCUGGCCUAAUACUGACGCUGAGGUACGAAAGCAUGGGGAGCAAACAGGAUUAGAUACCCUGGUAGUCCAUGCCGUAAACGAUGUCUACUAGCCGUUGGGGCCUUUGAGGCUUUUAGUG
Molecule: ribosomal RNA, 777 nt
Filed under: Acinetobacter johnsonii
Lineage: Bacteria; Pseudomonadati; Pseudomonadota; Gammaproteobacteria; Moraxellales; Moraxellaceae
Description: bacterial SSU rRNA
Rfam family: Bacterial small subunit ribosomal RNA
Source: RNAcentral